GCCCGGGUGGCGAAAUCGGUAGACGCUGCGGUCUUAAACACCGCUGCCCUUUGGGGCGUGGGGGUUCGAGUCCCUCCCCGGGCA
This 84-nucleotide transfer RNA is filed under the name Actinomycetota bacterium. RNAcentral's name for it is "tRNA-Leu". It matches the Rfam family "tRNA". Rfam says of the family: Transfer RNA (tRNA) molecules are approximately 80 nucleotides in length. Their secondary structure includes four short double-helical elements and three loops (D, anti-codon, and T loops). Further hydrogen bonds mediate the characteristic L-shaped molecular structure. tRNAs have two regions of fundamental functional importance: the anti-codon, which is responsible for specific mRNA codon recognition, and the 3' end, to which the tRNAs corresponding amino acid is attached (by aminoacyl-tRNA synthetases). tRNAs cope with the degeneracy of the genetic code in two manners: having more than one tRNA (with a specific anti-codon) for a particular amino acid; and 'wobble' base-pairing, i.e. permitting non-standard base-pairing at the 3rd anti-codon position. RNAcentral also lists the same sequence under 1 other name. Lineage: Bacteria; Bacillati; Actinomycetota. The record is from RNAcentral.